CAAGUAGGGGGCGAGCGUUGUCCGGAUUUAUUGGGCGUAAAGAGCUCGUAGGCGGCUCGGUAAGUCGGGUGUGAAAUUCCAGGGCUCAACCCUGGAACGCCACCCGAUACUGCCGUGGCUAGAGUCCGGUAGGGGAGCGUGGAAUUCCUGGUGUAGCGGUGAAAUGCGCAGAUAUCAGGAGGAACACCAGCGGCGAAGGCGGCGCUCUGGGCCGGAACUGACGCUGAGGAGCGAAAGCGUGGGGAGCAAACAGG
RNAcentral lists this ribosomal RNA (254 nucleotides) under uncultured bacterium. RNAcentral's name for it is "partial 16S ribosomal RNA". It matches the Rfam family "Bacterial small subunit ribosomal RNA", at positions 524 to 776 of the family's 1533-position model. The record is from RNAcentral.